CCUGCUUUCACUGUGCUUCAGUGCUAACUUAGCCACAAUAACAAACACACAGGAGGAAGAUGGGUUGUUUACCUGAAUAUACAGACUGAUUCUAAUGGGCAGAUUUUCAAGGUGUCUUCAUCUGUAUGCUGCCAGAUCUGUGGGCAUGCUGCCAGGAUGCUCUAUCAUGCCAGAAAGCUCUACAUUCCCACCAGCCGUCUCGAUCUUGACAAGUGGAGAUUAACGGAUGCUUCAAGUCCCCUUUUGAUUUACAUAAACCAUUCUGAAGUGACAUGAUUAAAGAUGGCAGUGCAGCAGAAAAUGCAUACGUUUGUGUUACUAAACAGCUCUGCUGUAUCUUACAGUAAUAAUUAAAACACUCUUGGAAAUAGCAUAUGCAGAAUGGCAAAAGGUCGCCAUUUCUGGUGCAGAACAACUUUACUAACACACCAAAACUAUCUGCUGUGUUUGUUUUGGCAUAACUUAUUUAUACUUUAUCUAUUAGGUGACACAGAAAGGUAAUUGACUGUCUCAGAUAUCCUAGAUGUGAGAUGUUACUUCCCCUGCUACAUUCAAAUCACAUACAAAGGCAUGCACAGACUUAUGCUUUGAGAAUGUCUGGUCUGAGUGGAAAAACAAAUGCUUGCUUCAUUAUACAGUGG
RNAcentral lists this long non-coding RNA (641 nucleotides) under Coturnix japonica (Japanese quail). RNAcentral's name for it is "lncRNA (ENSCJPG00005006793.1)". Lineage: Eukaryota; Metazoa; Chordata; Aves; Galliformes; Phasianidae. The record is from RNAcentral.